GCAAGUCGAGGGGUAACGAUACUUUCGGGUAGGCGACGACCGGCGCACGGGUGAGUAACGCGUAUGCAACCUACCCAUUGCUGGAGCAUAGGCCGAAGAAAUUCGGAUUAAUACUCCAUAAUAUCAUUUUAACACAUGUUUUAAUGAUUAAAGUUCCGGCGGCAAUGGAUGGGCAUGCGUGACAUUAGUUAGUUGGUGAGGUAACAGCUCACCAAGACUGCGAUGUCUAGGGGGUCUUAAAGGAUGAUC
This 249-nucleotide ribosomal RNA is filed under the name uncultured bacterium. RNAcentral's name for it is "partial 16S ribosomal RNA". It matches the Rfam family "Bacterial small subunit ribosomal RNA", at positions 57 to 305 of the family's 1533-position model. The record is from RNAcentral.